AUUUAGCCCCGAUUGAAGCUUGUAUCCUUUUGGCUCAUUUUUCUUGAGCCAAAAGAUACUGCGAAAAGCGGGAUUAUGG
Small RNA from Flavobacterium psychrophilum JIP02/86, 79 nucleotides. It matches the Rfam family "Flavo-1 RNA". NCBI's taxonomy places the organism in Bacteria, Pseudomonadati, Bacteroidota, Flavobacteriia, Flavobacteriales, Flavobacteriaceae. The record is from Rfam.